This 443-nucleotide ribosomal RNA is filed under the name uncultured bacterium. RNAcentral's name for it is "partial 16S ribosomal RNA". It matches the Rfam family "Bacterial small subunit ribosomal RNA", at positions 338 to 795 of the family's 1533-position model. The record is from RNAcentral.
CCUACGGGAGGCUGCAGUGGGGAAUAUUGGGCAAUGGGCGCAAGCCUGACCCAGCAACGCCGCGUGAAGGAAGAAGGCUCUCGGGUUGUAAACUUCUUUUGUCAGGGACGAAGCAAGUGACGGUACCUGACGAAUAAGCCACGGCUAACUACGUGCCAGCAGCAGCGGUAAUCCGUAGGUGGCAAGCGUUAUCCGGAUUUAUUGGGUGUAAAGGGCGGGUGGGCGGGAAGGCAAGUCAGAUGUGAAAACUAUGGGCUCAACCCAUAGCCUGCAUUUGAAACUGUAUUUCUUGAGUGCUGGAGAGGCAAUCGGAAUGCCGUGUGUAGCGGUGAAAUGCGUAGAUAUACGGAGGAACACCGGUGGCGAAGGCGGAUUGCUGGACAGUAACUGACGCUGAGGCGCGAAAGCGUGGGGAGCGAACAGGAUUAGAUACCCCAGUAGUC